Non-coding RNA from Coturnix japonica (Japanese quail), 662 nucleotides. Lineage: Eukaryota; Metazoa; Chordata; Aves; Galliformes; Phasianidae. The record is from RefSeq and is a predicted model, not a curated record.
CCUAGAAUGAGAUUGAGGGAUGUUAGUACACAUAACGUAACCAGAAGGAAUAUGUAUUUGGUUAAUAACUGGGUAAAAACAAGGUUUCCAAGAGAAUAUUUUGUAUUUUUCAAAUGAUUCAUAACAUUGCAAAAGGUAAUUACAAACAAUUCUUUCAUUGCUGCUCCUGUUUGGGCAAAACAAACACCCUCCCUGCCAGCCCAAGAAGACGACAUAUGUGCAGCUGCCUAAGAACGAUUGUCAGAAUGCCUGAAAGGAUUCAACUUGUGAUGAGUACAAAUUAAGGACUGAUGUCAGCUGCUUAUACUGCUGGCCCCCAGUGGGGAUCUUCCACCCUCCCAAACGGAUCCAGAAUCAGAUUCUGUUCAAUUAUCUAGCCAGAAAUCAAACCAGUUUGCUGAAGUUUCAGCCCUCUACCCUGGAGAAAGAGAAAUGCACAAACUCAAAUGCGACAGAGUUUGCAAUUUCUCCAAAACAGACACGAGAUAUUACAGGAGUGUUUCUGAACAACGUAACAGCAGCACUACCUGCUUCCAGGAAAGCUUCACUUUUUUCAAAGUAUUCUGGUGCUAUUUGCUUAAGCACAGUGCGAAAGAGAUGGACAUAUGGCAGCUUGCUGAUGAGGACCAGCGACUGGAAUAAAGAAUAACAGCACAAAAAUA